CACCGGAGCUUGCUCCACCGGAAAAAGAGGAGUGGCGAACGGGUGAGUAACACGUGGGUAACCUGCCCAUCAGAAGGGGAUAACACUUGGAAACAGGUGCUAAUACCGUAUAACAAUCGAAACCGCAGGGUUUUGAUUUGAAAGGCGCUUUCGGGUGUCGCUGAUGGAUGGACCCGCGGUGCAUUAGCUAGUUGGUGAGGUAACGGCUCACCAAGGCGACGAUGCAUAGCCGACCUGAGAGGGUGAUCGGCCACAUUGGGACUGAGACACGGCCCAAACUCCUACGGGAGGCAGCAGUAGGGAAUCUUCGGCAAUGGACGAAAGUCUGACCGAGCAACGCCGCGUGAGUGAAGAAGGUUUUCGGAUCGUAAAACUCUGUUGUUAGAGAAGAACAAGGAUGAGAGUAACUGUUCAUCCCUUGACGGUAUCUAACCAGAAAGCCACGGCUAACUACGUGCCAGCAGCCGCGGUAAUACGUAGGUGGCAAGCGUUGUCCGGAUUUAUUGGGCGUAAAGCGAGCGCAGGCGGUUUCUUAAGUCUGAUGUGAAAGCCCCCGGCUCAACCGGGGAG
RNAcentral lists this ribosomal RNA (570 nucleotides) under Enterococcus hirae. Its description in RNAcentral is "bacterial SSU rRNA". It matches the Rfam family "Bacterial small subunit ribosomal RNA", at positions 70 to 620 of the family's 1533-position model. The record is from RNAcentral. Lineage: Bacteria; Bacillati; Bacillota; Bacilli; Lactobacillales; Enterococcaceae.